UUCGGGUUGAGUGGCGGACGGGUGAGUAACGCGUGAGAAUCUGCCUUGGGGUCGGGGACAACCACUGGAAACGGUGGCUGAUACCGGAUAAGCCUUUGGGUAAAAAAUUUAUUGCCCCAAGAGGAGCUCGCGUCUGAUUAGCUAGUUGGUGAGGUAAAAGCUCACCAAGGCAGCGAUCAGUAGCUGGUCUGAGAGGACGAUCAGCCACACUGGGACUGAGACACGGCCCAGACUCCUACGGGAGGCAGCAGUGGGGAAUUUUCCGCAAUGGGCGAAAGCCUGACGGAGCAAGACCGCGUGAGGGAGGAAGGCUCUUGGGUUGUAAACCUCUUUUCUCAGGGAAGAAGCUCUGACGGUACCUGAGGAAUCAGCCUCGGCUAACUCCGUGCCAGCAGCCGCGGUAAUACGGAGGAGGCAAGCGUUAUCCGGAAUUAUUGGGCGUAAAGCGUCCGCAGGUGGCGAUUCAAGUCUGCUGUCAAAGCACGGGGCUUAACUCCGUUAAGGCAGUGGAAACUGAAUAGCUAGAGUGCCGUAGGGGUAGAGGGAAUUCCCGGUGUAGCGGUGAAAUGCGUAGAGAUCGGGAGGAACAAUCGGUGGCGAAAGCGCUCUACUGGACGGCAACUGACACUCAGGGACGAAAGCUAGGGGAGCGAAUGGGAUUAGAUACCCCAGUAGUCCUAGCUGUAAACGAUGGAUACUAAGGUGUAGCU
This 710-nucleotide ribosomal RNA is filed under the name uncultured organism. RNAcentral describes it as "bacterial SSU rRNA". It matches the Rfam family "Bacterial small subunit ribosomal RNA", at positions 85 to 828 of the family's 1533-position model. The record is from RNAcentral.